Loxodonta africana (African savanna elephant) is the source of this 107-nucleotide small nuclear RNA. NCBI's taxonomy places the organism in Eukaryota, Metazoa, Chordata, Mammalia, Proboscidea, Elephantidae. The record is from Ensembl.
GUGUUUGCUCCUGCAGCACAUAUGCUCAAGUUGGAACGAUACAGAGAAGAUAAGGAUGACCUCUGCUUAAGGAUGACAUGCAAAUCAAUGAAGCAUUUCAUAUUUUU